GCAUCAUUAGUCUAGAGGUUAGGAUGGUUGCCUUCCAAGCAGUCGACCCGGGUUCGAGUCCCGGAUGAUGCA
Blepharisma stoltei is the source of this 72-nucleotide non-coding RNA. The record is from the annotation of a GenBank genome assembly. Lineage: Eukaryota; Ciliophora; Heterotrichea; Heterotrichida; Blepharismidae.